GACAGAGGGUGCAAACGUUGUUCGGAAUUACUGGGCGUAAAGCGAGUGUAGGCGGUCUGAAAAGUCGGGUGUGAAAGCCCCGGGCUCAACCCGGGAAGUGCACUCGAAACUGCCAGGCUAGAGUAUCGGAGAGGUUGGUGGAAUUCUCGGUGUAGAGGUGAAAUUCGUAGAUAUCGAGAGGAACACCGGUGGCGAAGGCGGCCAACUGGACGAAUACUGACGCUGAGACUCGAAAGCGUGGGGAGCAAACAGG
RNAcentral lists this non-coding RNA (253 nucleotides) under uncultured bacterium. Its description in RNAcentral is "partial 16S ribosomal RNA". It matches the Rfam family "Bacterial small subunit ribosomal RNA", at positions 524 to 776 of the family's 1533-position model. RNAcentral also lists the same sequence under 1 other name. The record is from RNAcentral.